GACGAACGCUGGCGGCGUGCUUAACACAUGCAAGUCGAACGGAAAGGCCCUGCUUUUGUGGGGUGCUCGAGUGGCGAACGGGUGAGUAACACGUGAGUAACCUGCCCUUGACUUUGGGAUAACUUCAGGAAACUGGGGCUAAUACCGGAUAGGAGCUCCUGCUGCAUGGUGGGGGUUGGAAAGUUUCGGCGGUUGGGGAUGGACUCGCGGCUUAUCAGCUUGUUGGUGGGGUAGUGGCUUACCAAGGCUUUGACGGGUAGCCGGCCUGAGAGGGUGACCGGCCACAUUGGGACUGAGAUACGGCCCAGACUCCUACGGGAGGCAGCAGUGGGGAAUAUUGCACAAUGGGCGGAAGCCUGAUGCAGCAACGCCGCGUGCGGGAUGACGGCCUUCGGGUUGUAAACCGCUUUCGCCUGUGACGAAGCGUGAGUGCCGGUCAUGGGUAAAGAAGCACCGGCUAACUACGUGC
Molecule: ribosomal RNA, 469 nt
Filed under: uncultured bacterium
Lineage: Bacteria
Description: partial 16S ribosomal RNA
Rfam family: Bacterial small subunit ribosomal RNA
Source: RNAcentral